GUUGAACGCUGGCGGCGGGCCUAAUACAUGCAAGUCGAGCGGACAGACGAGGAUCUUGCUCGUCUGACGUUAGCGGCGGGUGGGUGAGUCACACGUGUAUAACUGGCCUUUAGGACUGGGAUAACGUCGGGAGACCGGAGCUAAUAUCGGAUAAGAUGUUGAACCGCAGGGUUCUAUAGUGAAAGACGUUUUUGCUGUCACUUAUAGAUGUAUCCGGGUCGCAUUAGCUAGUUGGUACGGUAACGGCCUACCAAGGCUACGAUGCGUAGCCGACCUGAGAGGGUGAUCAGUCACACUGGAACUGAGACACGGUCCAGACUCCUACGGGAGGCAGCAGUAGGGAAUAUUCGGCAAUGGGCGAAAGCCUGACGGAGCCAUGCCGCGUGUGUGAAGAAGGUCUUCGGAUUGUAAAACACUGUUAUUAGGGAGGAAGGACAGUGAAUGUAAACCUUGAUGUCUUGACGGUACCUACUCAGUAAGCACCGGCUAACUUCGUG
This 497-nucleotide ribosomal RNA is filed under the name uncultured bacterium. RNAcentral describes it as "partial 16S ribosomal RNA". It matches the Rfam family "Bacterial small subunit ribosomal RNA", at positions 28 to 507 of the family's 1533-position model. The record is from RNAcentral.